AUAAUUCCAAAAAAUAUGGGAUAUGAAAAAAAUCGAACAAAAGAGAAAAGAAAAACGCAAAAAUUAAAAUCGAAAUAAAAGGGGAUCACCAAAAUCUUUAACAAAAACAUAUCAAAAAAGAGGAAAACAAAAAGAAUAAGUGACUGUCAUCUCAACAAAAAACUCUCAUUAGUUCUUGAGCCAUCAUGUUUUCACCUUUACAACUUCAAAAUUCUCUCAGAACUUGAAUUCGUGUGUCGAACUAAUUGAAUGCGGGAAUGGAGAUCAUUAGAAGAAUAAUAGGGGGUUGAAAUUAAAAUCUGAGCCUUAUAU
Molecule: long non-coding RNA, 312 nt
Filed under: Lathyrus oleraceus (garden pea)
Lineage: Eukaryota; Viridiplantae; Streptophyta; Magnoliopsida; Fabales; Fabaceae
Description: Pisum sativum (pea) long non-coding RNA (PSAT_LNC035821)
Source: RNAcentral